RNAcentral lists this ribosomal RNA (411 nucleotides) under uncultured candidate division WWE3 bacterium. Its description in RNAcentral is "bacterial SSU rRNA". It matches the Rfam family "Bacterial small subunit ribosomal RNA", at positions 338 to 795 of the family's 1533-position model. Lineage: Bacteria; candidate division WWE3. The record is from RNAcentral.
CCUACGGGGGGCAGCAAUCGGGAAUUUUGCGCAAUGGGCGAAAGCCUGACGCAGCGACGCCGCGUGAAGGAUGACGGCCUUCGGGUUGUAAACUUCUGCGAAUAGCACCGGCUAACUACGUGCCAGCAGCAGCGGUCAUACGUAGGGUGCAAGCAUUACCCGGAUUUACUGGGCGUAAAGAGUUCUGUAGGCGGUUAUAUAAGUCAGGGGUUAAAUCUUUGGGCCCAACCCAAAGACUGCUUUUGAUACUGUAUGACUAGAGACAUCUAGGGGAUAGCAGAACGUAUGGUGGAGCGGUGAAAUGCGUUGAUAUCAUACGGAACACCAAGGGGGAAGCCAGCUAUCUGGGGAUGUUCUGACGCUGAGAGACGAAAGCGUGAGUAGCGAAACGGAUUAGAUACCCUUGUAGUC